GACGAACCUGACGAACGUUAUUCGGAAUUACUGGGCUUAAAGGGUGCGUAGGCUGUGCAGAAAGUUGGGUGUGAAAUCCCUCGGCUUAACCGAGGAACUGCGCCCAAAACUACUGUGCUUGAGGGAGAUAGAGGUGAGCGGAACUCAGGGUGGAGCGGUGAAAUGCGUUGAUAUCCUGGGGAACACCUGUGGCGAAAGCGGCUCACUGGGUCUCUUCUGACGCUGAUGCACGAAAGCUAGGGGAG
RNAcentral lists this ribosomal RNA (245 nucleotides) under uncultured bacterium. Its description in RNAcentral is "partial 16S ribosomal RNA". It matches the Rfam family "Bacterial small subunit ribosomal RNA", at positions 524 to 768 of the family's 1533-position model. The record is from RNAcentral.